UAAUACGAGAGCGACGAACGUUAUCCGGAAUUACUGGGCGUAAAGCGUCUGUAGGGGGAUAUUCAGGUCGGGUGUAAAAGGCUACGGCUCAACCGCAGCACAGCAUCCGAAACCGUUUAUCUUGAAGAUGGUAGGGGCAAGUGGAACUCCAGGAGUAGGGGUAAAAUCCGUAGAUACCUGGAAGAACACCAAUAGCGAAGGCAACUUGCUGGGCCAUUCUUGACCCUGAGAGACGAAAGCGUGGGGAGCAAACGGGAUUAGAUACCCCGGUAGUCCACGCCCUAAACGAUGGAUACUAGAUGUAUGCGGUCUCGACCCCGUAUGCGUCGCAGCUAACGCAAUAAGUAUCCCGCCUGGGGAGUACGGCCGCAAGGCUA
Molecule: ribosomal RNA, 377 nt
Filed under: uncultured bacterium
Lineage: Bacteria
Description: bacterial SSU rRNA
Rfam family: Bacterial small subunit ribosomal RNA
Source: RNAcentral